RNAcentral lists this long non-coding RNA (20722 nucleotides) under Arabidopsis lyrata. RNAcentral describes it as "long non-coding RNA (ALYR_LNC001394)". Lineage: Eukaryota; Viridiplantae; Streptophyta; Magnoliopsida; Brassicales; Brassicaceae. The record is from RNAcentral.
UCGUUUUUCCUUCCGGAUUCAUUGAUUCCGCCAAUAUGGCUUAAGGAACUGCUGUGUAACGAUUUGUUAACUUAAUAAAAUAAGUUCUUGACGAAAAUAUAUAUUUUUUAUUUUAUAUAUUGGCUUUCUCUUUAGGAAUUUAUCUUUCUGAGACUAAUUUUGUCACUCAGUUCCGAUAUUUUCAUAUUCUAUUAUUUUAAUUUUAAUUUUUUGUUUGUAUCUUAUUAAAUCCAAUGUUGCAAUUGUGUUAUUUCUACUUAUUUUCGAUAUUUUAAAAAUAAUCUUUUUAUAUUUUUAAUAAGUGCAUAAUGUUUGUACUACAAUCAAAUGCAUUUAUACAUUUACUUAUAUAAAAUUUUAUAUUAUAUUUAUGAUAAGCUAAAAAUUAAUAGUAUAUAUAAUUAUAUUUUAGUUUUGUUUUCAAUUAUUAUACACGAUACUAUUUAGCUAUAUUUUAACAUUUUGUUUACUGUCAUUUAUAAACUAAUCAACUAUUAUUUUAAUUAGUAAAUUGUCAUAAGAUUCAUCACUAAUUCACUAUAUAUUUUUUGAAAGCUAAAAACUGUAUGUCUUUCCAACUUUUAUACAAUUUUUAGAAAUACCCAACAUAUUGAUUUUUAAAUAUGUCAUGAUUCAUUACUAUAUUUUUUUUUGAAAGCUAAUAAAUGUAUGAUCUUUCAACUUUCAUACAAUUUCAAAAAUAUCCAUCAUAUUAAUUUUUAAUAUAUCAAUUAUAAAACUGAAAUGUUUAUAAAAUUUUUAAUAUGAUUAAUCUUAAACAUUUUCUCGCUAAAAUUCAAAUUAUAUUUUUAGGUAUAAAUUUAUAUUUCUUUGCUUUUUACAUAUAAUAUUAAUUCAUUUGUAUUUAACUUAAAUAUUUUAUAAUUAUAAGUAACAAUAAAUAAAAAUAAGUAUGUAUUGAAUGAACAUUUUAAAUAAAUUAUAUUUUUUAAUUUUUAAUUAGAUGCAUGCUUAGGUGGAUGAUGAUGUGGAUAGCCUAGAUGGAGAGAGGACUCUCCCAUUAUAUAUAUAGAUUUAAGUACUCGGACCGGGUUCAAAGUCAGGCCCAUCGGAUUUAGGUGUUAUGAUUCUAAACAUUUAAAUCUCAUUCGGAUAUUUUAAAUUUUUGUUUUAAAAGAUGAAAAUAUGAAGCAUUUUGCAACGUUUCAUUAUUCCUCAUAGACCUGGACAUUUGACUAUUUGAGUACUCGGGUCGGAUUCAGGUUGGGCCAAUCCGGAUUCAGAUUUUUAUUUUGAGUCUUGACAUUUAAGCCCCAUUUUAGUAAUUAAAUUUUUGGUUCGAUUAUGAUUUGGAUUCGGGUAUAUUCUCGUCUUUAUAUUGAGCAGUGUUCUAAAAAGCGGUCUAGGCAGUCGCCUAGACCCCGACUAGGCGCUAGGCUCUCAUGGGACGCCUAGAUAACUGCUUUGACCGCCUAAAAUAUCAUAGAUCUUGUUUAAUGUUUUUUUUUAAUCUCAAUUAGAGUUUUAUUUAUAUAUAUAUAUAUAUAUAUAUAUAUAUAUAUAUAUAGUUAUAAAUAUUUAUAUAUUGUUAAUAUAAAUAUAAAUAAAUGUUUUAUCUAGUUUUUGUUUAUAAUUUCAUAAUUUUUAGUUUUAUAUAGAUAUUUUAUAUAACUUUUAUAUAUAAUAUCAUAUUUAUAAUAUUUUAUGUUAUAAACGUCUAAACCGCCUAAAAAAUCGCCUAGACCCCGAUUAGACGUUCUAGGAGCUAGACACUGGAUCACCGCCCGCUUAGCGCCUAGCGCUUUCUUGAACACUGAUAUUGAGAAGCGGUGGGAAUCAGAAAUAUUUACGAGUGUGGUUUGGAUGGAUACUUUGUAUCCUGAUCUAUCCAAAAAGUAUUUGAAUAGACCGAAAGUAUCCAAAAUACCCAAAAAAAUGGUAGUUUAUAUCACCGAAAUAUAUCCACAUCUAUCCAAACUACCUGAAGAUAUCCAAAAUACCUAAAAAAAUAGUAUUUGUAUCACUCAAAUUCUCCGAGAGUAUUUGCAAUAUCCGAAAGUUGUAGUAAUUUUGGGUAUUUGGGUUAAUUAUUAUAAGUAUAAAUAUGACUGAUAUAUUCUUAUAUUUUAUGGCAUGUUCAGAUAUCCAUUCGGUUAUCGAUUUGGUUUGGAUCCAGUACUAGUUCGUCGAGUCUAGAGGUUUAGGUCAUAUUCUGGUAUUUUGUCUCUUCCGGUUCCGGUUCCGGUUUUCUUUUUUGGAUCAUCAGUUCCAGUUACUUUUCUACAAGUGAAGAUUAAUAUAAUUUUACCCAUAUGUGAGGCUUUUUCAGAAGCUAAUAGAAUGGCCAAUGUGAGGCUGAGAGUUAGCCUUCAAUUUUAACAUUGGACGUCAUACAUGAGACUUGAGAGUUAGCCAUCAACUUUAAUUUUGGAAAUCAUACAUAAAAGUGCGAUAGGUGAUUUCACUCUUAGGUAUUUCGAUACAUAUGUUUUGAAAGUUUGAGAACCUUGAUAAAGUGGAAAAAAACUGAAAUAAGCUUAGUGUACAUAAGGGUGAAAGGGUGAAACUCCCAACCCUGAGUUCGAUCCUUUCUGGAAACAAAAACACAUUUGUUUGGGAAGUCUGUCAGUUGGGCCUUGGCCCAAUUGGUUUACCUAGUAGUCAGAAAUGCAGGCAGCCUGACUACCUCCUGUCAUUAGUCGGAAGGCACUCUAAACUCGGAUCAGGCAGUGUCGUAGCCCAAUUCUGGAUCUCAUGGAUCUCAUAAAUCUCAUGGCCCGUUCGACCCGAGUCCGCUCGAAGAUCAUGGUGUCCGUUGAAUCGUUGAACCGUUGAACCGUUGAACCGCGGGAAUAGUCCACUCUGUAGCACUUCGAUACGUUCCUACCGGAUCUGCCGAUAGGGUUUAUAAAAAAAAAAAAAAAGGGACAAUUCAUAAAGAAAUAAGCUUAAAAGCAAUACAAUAUCAGUGGAGCGCAUGCAUAAAAAUCACAAUUUUUCUUCACCUACUAAUUUGUCUUAAGUUGACAAAAGUUGCUUUUGUCAAAAUAAAAUAAAAAGCUUAGCGAAAGUUAAUUGCCAAAACAACCAUGUCCGUUACUUCGUGUGUAAAGAUUUGAUUCAAUCAAUAAAAGGUUAAUGGACUUUUUAAACCUAACUUCAUCGACGUCAUAAUUGUAAAAAUUUACAAACGUUGUUAUAUCCUAUAUAGUUCUUCAAAGACGAAUCAAACCACAUUAGUUUAAAUUGUGUGAAACCUUUUGAAAUCUUAAAUAUAUUAUUUAUAUGUAAAAGGUUUGAACAAUAGUUAAACUAUAUAAAGACUCAUAUAUAAUUCCAGACAUCAAUAAUUAAUCAAUGGUUAAAAUAUUUUCAAGAUUUUGUACUAGUUGAAGACUAAUUAGUUUUCAAAAUUCUAAUUUAGAAUUGUGUAAUUAUUCUAAAUUUUAGUGAUAUGUUUUUACAAGAAAAAUAUUACAAAACAUUAUUUUAUGAUAAAAACAAUUUAAUUUAACCAAGAACGAUAUGAAAUAUAUUGAUUAAGAAGGUGAAGUUGGUAAAUUACAAAAAUGUUUUUGCAUACAAAACCGGUUGUAAAAUAGUAAAUAAGUGGAGAUUUUUUUGCUAGUAAUUUUAAACUAAGAGCUUGAUAUCAUGUAAAAUAGCAGAAUGUCAUCGGUUAACGUACGAUCUUAUUUGAUUUAAAGAGCACAUACUUUAUGUUAUUUGUUUAAAGCACUUGCUGUAAAUGACUUAAAUUGUUUAUAAUUUUUUCUAUCCAUCAUCUUUUGCAAAUUAAUGUCAACAUCUAGUGUAUAUAUUCUAACGAUAGGUAAAAAGAUGAAGAGUAGAAACCUGAACGAUAGGUAAAAUCUUCUAUUCUUUUUUUCUUUUUUUUCUGUCAACUGGUCAGCCAAUUAAAAUCUAUUGAAACACAAUCUCAUAUUCAGGCCUUUAAAUUAGCAACUAUUAAUUGAAUUACGACUAUUAAGUAUGAUGGGUAAUACAUUUUCCCCACUGUUUCUAGUGAACUAGAAUUUUUUUUUUGAAACUAUAAACAUAUGCAAAAAAUUGGUAUUUUAGGUUGAUAUAUAUAAUAUUUUUGGACCAAUAUAUAUUGAGUUGGAAUUUUUUUUUGCGUUGAAAUAUAUAUAUUGUUUUAAUUGGUAUUUUAGCUUUGAAAUAUAUUAUGAAUGAGAAUAAAUAGUUUUCUCACAUAUUCAAAGUUAGUAUCACCUUUGAGUUGGAAUCAUGCGCUUAUACAAAAGUGAUUCAUGGUGACUUCAACGUAAAAUACCAAUUUUGCAUAGAUUGGGUAAUGCCUAUAUAUCCACCAUAUGAAUAUUUAAUAUUGUAGAUGUUGCUCGAAUGCUAUUAUGGACGAGCGCGGUUCCCUCAUUUAUUAUUUGAAAUAUAGAUAUUGCUCCAUUGAAGAAUAUUGGGUAUUGACAAAAUAUAUACAUUGGAUAAUGUAUUAAUUUUUAACGGAAACGAAGGUGACACGUACAUGUACUCAAUCAACAAGAUGAGUUAUUCAUAAUGUAAUGAAAUGGGACAUAUCAAAACUUGAGUGGUAGAGUUGCAAACAGUUUGAAAGCAACCCUCCUUCUAACUAAAUCUGAUAUAGCUCCACUUUAUCGGUCGUCCUUAUAGAACAUGUGGUUGCAAACUUAGUACAUAUAGAGUUUUCGAUAAUUUUAUUCAUUCACCACAAAUAUAAUUAUACAAGUUUCAUAUGUCAUAGUGAUAAUCUUCUAAACUUUACCUUAAAGUAUAAUUGUUCACAUAUUAGCUUCCCGCAUAACCAACAUGAAGAAUAGGUUAGACAGUACUAAAUUUCCGUAUAUAUGCGUCAGUAGAUUGGUGUAAUGAUACUUCUCGUACUCUCUUCUUUGGAGAUAUGCUUGUUUCAUUUUCUCAUCAUUUAUUUAUGCGCAAAAUACCCUGAACUACCAUUAGCUUAUACUUGAUUUUAUUUUUGUUAUAAUUGAUUGUUGCCGGAGAUCACCUCUUAAAUAGUGAGGUAAGAAACUACCUAGUAGCCGAAGUUUAUCCUCAAUAGUAACUAACUAUUAACUCCUAAAUAAUAUAUAAUCCCGAUAGUAUAAUCAUCGGCUAAUAUUUUAGUGUUAUAUAGUCUCAAUGAUUUUAUAUAGUAACAGGUGGUGCUUUUAAAUUUGUAUUUUAAAACUAAAACUCCCCAUCGCAUCAACAAUUCCACUUCAACUUUGUGCCAGAUGUCUCGGCAACAAAUAGGAAUUUACAUGAAUGUCAUUUUCAUUGUAUUUUUGUAUGGGUUUAAUUUCUUUACAUAUUAUUGUCAAUUCAUUUAAUUUCUAAAUGCCGCUGACCCCAAUCACAAACUUGAAUCAAUGUCUGCUGUUGAGACAUGACAAUACUGAACUGCCAUGUGUCCUCCAAAUUUGAUAAAUCCCUCCUCAAUUAUUGACACAUUACUUAAUAUUUACUUAUUUAGUGAAAAAUGAAAAUGUAUGGUUUGCAUUUAAUGAUUUGUUAAACAUUUUUUUUACUGUUCCUUUUACUCUGUUCGGAAAGAAAUUUUUUAGUUUUCUUUACACGUCAAGCUUCACAAAUUCCUCCGCACCACACAUGAAAACCUGGGGUUACGGAUGUGGAAAAUGUUAAAAGUAACCUAAUAUAAAACAUGUGAUAUAUUACGGAUUUUACCAAUUUUAGCCGUGAUAUAUGUGUCAGUUUUAGAGUCUUUUUGUUGUAUGGUUUGCAUUUAAUGAUUUGUUAAACAUUUUUUUUACUGUUCCUUUUACUCUGUUCGGAAAGAAAUUUUUUAGUUUUCUUUACACGUCAAGCUUCACAAAUUCCUCCGCGCCACACAUGAAAACCUGGGGUUACGGAUGUGGAAAAUGUUAAAAGUAACCUAAUAUAAAACAUGUGAUAUAUUACGGAUUUUACCAAUUUUAGCCGUGAUAUAUGUGUCAGUUUUAGAGUCUUUUUGUUGUUUCUAGAGUUUUUUGAGUAUUUUCAGGUUUUUACACGUUCGGAACAAAUCUGGAGAUAAGGAACCAUUCUGGAGCUAAACCGGAGAUUUAGAGCUGAAAAAAAGAUUUCGGUGUCAGACCAAGGCAUGAGUGUCGACCGACGCCCUUUGGUGUCGCUCGACACCACACGAGACCCAACAAAAAGUCUCGACGGUUUGGAGUUUUUAAAGCCCGAAGAAUCAACCCAGACAACUUCCCUAUUUGCAACUUUAGUCCCUGCACAUUUUUGGAGACUUUAUAAAUAGUUUUUAGGGUUUUUCUAUUUCAUUAUCUUAGAUCUUGCUUUUUGCUUUUGGCUUUGUAAUUCUCUGAGCUUGAACCCUUUGGAAGAAAAUUGGAAAGAGCAACUUUUCAGAUAUUUCAAAACCCUGUAGAGAGAAUAUUUAUUCUAAACUCUUUUCUUCUUUUGAUUUCUUAUUUUACAAUUUAUUUAAACAUAUUUUCUGUUUCAUUAAUCAUGUCUGAGUAAUCACCCUGUUAGGUUUAGAGAUUCUCAUUAGGGAUUUAGAUGAAUUAGUAAAUCGAUUUUCUGUUAGGAUUAAUCUAUAGAGUUCUUCACCUUAGGUUGUUCUUAAUGCUAGUUCAAGAGUAGCUAACUAGAACUUGAUCAUAGGAUAAUAGGUUUUGAUCCGAGAGAGCGCCUGUUACUGGAACUAUCUUAGGUGGGUAAAGAUUUCUAGAUACAUUCGAGAGGAGGUCUAGGAAUAUUUGUGAACAUAUAUCAAACCUGUUUUUAAUGCUAGUUUAGAUCUAGGAGUUCGCAUUCGAGAGGGUGGAAUUACCUGAUAUUAGACUAGUUAGUCAAUGUAUCUGAGAGGAGGUUGGCUAUACAUUUGUGUUUUGAGUUCUAGAACGGUUCGAUAAUAAUCCUAAUUAAUUUGCUAGAUUUACUAUUAGUUUAUUUUCUGAGAAUAUCCCUAAAUCUGACGCUUUAAUCCAUUUGAAUUUUCACCUGAUUUAAUUGCUUGUUUUUAUUUGAAUUUGCUUAAUAUUCUAUUUAGCCUAAUUUCGAAAUUGUUAGCUUACUGUGUGAACAAAAGAACUUUGUGGAAUUCGACCCUAAAGUGCUGCAAUUGUUCUCUUAUUUGAGAGAGUAGUCUAUAGGUCUAAUUUAACUCAUAUAUAUCAAAUUUGGCGCCGCUGCCGAAGUUCUUGGGAAUCACCAUUAAGUUUAGUUUAAAAAUUUUGUCUAAAUUUUACUUUUCUUUUGAUAGUUUCGCGUUUCUUUCUUUCCUUUUUUCUUGUGUUUCAGGUGCAUGCCUAACCGCAUAACUUGGAGCAGCAAAGAAAAAGACCUCGUCAAUUUGACUACACUUGAAUUGGCAUAGUUAGAACGCACCAACCGCAAAGCUCAAAAAUCAUCAACAAUGGUUCGUGGAGAAAUCAGAGCUAAUGAACUAGGGGUUUUGAGAGAUGACGAUGGACAAGCCUACAAUGAGGCUGGACAACGAUUGGACGAUCAUGGGAUUGUCAUGCCCGAGGAUCUGAUUGUGGAUGAUCCAAACAUCCGGAAUCCUGAUCCACCAAACGCUGUGGCUGAUCACGUCCUCGGUGUGGAACGACACCACCAGGGUGUAGCUCGACACCCCCUCCCAGCAGACGUGCAGAUCAAAGCUGGCCAGCAGGGCCGCCAACAGCCGCCUGUCACGGCAGAACAUCAGUUAACUCUUAGAGACUACAACAUGCCAGACCUGUUCUAUGCUAUUCGAUCAGCGAUCGUACCCCCCGCUUUUCAGAGAAACGACUUCGAGCUAAAACCCGCAUACUUUACUCUUGUAGGACAACAUCCUUUCCACAGCUUCUCUAAUGAACAGCCAAUGGACCACAUCGAGCGCUUUGAGGAUUUGGUAUCUAGCAUUAAGGCUAAUGGAGUUUCAGAUGACUAUCUUCUCUGCAAGCUCUUCCGAUACUCACUUGCUGGGGAAGCAGCUUCUUGGUUAAAGCAGUUGAAACCAGAAUCUUUGACUAGCUGGAGGAAGAUCAAGGUAGCCAUUUUGAACAACUUCUAUGAUGAUGGUAAGUCUGAGGAGCUGCGCAACAAGUUGUCUACAUUCACUUAAAGACCAGCAGAAGCAUUUAAAGUUGCUUGGGUCAGAUUCAAGAAGUACCAACAAGAUUGCCUGCAUCACGGUUUCAGUGAAGUUCAGCUCAUAGGUACAUUCUUCAAGGGAGUUGAUUAGAGAUAUCAGAUUGCUUUGGAUGCUGCAAGAAAUGGCAACUUGAACACCAGGUACCCCGACGAUGUUGUAGCUUUAAUUGAGAAUCUCGCAUGUAGCAAUAGCACGAAGAAUGCAGACUUCGAGAGGAAGAAGAUUGCAGGCGCGAUUAUAGGUACUCAGUAUGCAGAGGUUAAUGCCAAGUUGGAUUAAGGCCAUAGCCACCUCACGGGAAAGAAAGCUGUCUACUUUGGUGCCAAAGUUGAAACUACUGAGCCAGAAGAAGAGUAUGAAGAAGGAGUAUUCUACAUUGAUGGCCAAGGAUACAGGAAAUUCGGGCCUCCAUAGGGUAACUUCAGUGGUCAGAGAUUCACAGCGAAUCAGAACAACUCCGGUUUCAACAACAGGCCAGCGUUUCAGAAGACAUAUCCGCAAACUAGUAGCUUCCAAAGAACAUACGGGAAUACGACCUACCAGAACCCACCUGCACCCACUCCCGAGACUAAGAUGGAGACGAUGCUUGAGCAGAUUCUAGAGGGGUAGACAAAGCUUACGGUUGAGUUCAACGGGAAGUUUGAUGCCAUAUACUUUUAUUUGAAUGGCAAGAUUGACACUUUGAACACUCACAUGAAGAAGCUCGAUGUUCAAGUUGCUCAAACUACCGCCGAUGUUAAGAGACAAGAUGGUGUUCUUUCUGGUAUGCCUGAUGCUAACCCCAAAAGAGCCUGCAAUGCGAUACUGGUCCGAGAUGGAGAUGAUGUUUGGGACGAAUUGGACACUGACGAUGAGCAUGAGCUCGCUGCUGUAGAGACAGUGUCGACCGACACCCCCUGGUGUCGAUCGACACCCACUCGAUACCCAUGGAGAACAAUGUUCGACGAAUCGUUGUCGACCGAUACAGCUUUGCGAAGCUCGAUAGCAACCCUCAUUGUCGACCGACGCCACCAUGGUGUCGAUAGACACUAUCUCGACAACGAAGCAGUUUCGAUGUGUGACGGACAGAGAUCGACCAGGCACGACACAGAGGAGUCGCACCAUAUCAGAGUGUCGACCGACACUCACCUAGUGUUGAUCGACACUGGGUUCGCACAGCUCCUUAUGCCAUCAUCUUUCCACCUGCAAAGCCUGUCUACACGCCUCCAGUCCCUUUUCCUAAGAAGCUUCGCUCUAAGCAAGAGAUUCAGGAUGCACGCUGCAAGGCUAUCAUGGAGAAGAUCUUGACUACUAUUCCUAAAGUCAAUCCCGAGAGAUCUUCGCCUCCACUUGAGAGGUAUGUCAAGAGAUUGGUCAACAAUGGAAUCUGUGCUGAAGAGGCUGCGUUGCUCACAAAAGAUAUCAACUUGAUUGUGCUGCAAGAAGCCAAGAAAGAGAGGAAGAAGAAAGUGGUUGUGUCUGAACACAUUAGCUCGAUCAUUUAGAGUAGGAUGCCUGAAAAGCUACCUGAUCCAGGAAGCUUUUUUCUUGAUUGCUCCAUCUCUACAGGCCGGUUCAGUAAAUCUUUGUGUGAUCUUGGAUCCAUCAUCAAUCUGAUGCCACAUUGAGUUGUUGUGCGCCUUGGUAUGACUGCUUACAGGCCAACAUGGAUUACUUUGCUUCUCACGGAUUGUUCUAAGCGAAUUCUCGAAGGAAUCUUGGAAGAUGUUCCUGUACAGAUUGGUGAAUGUCUCAUACCUGCUGAUUUCGUAGUACUGGACUACGAUGAGGAACCCAAGGAUCCUCUUAUCUUGGGUAGAGCAUUCUUAGCCAUAGCUGGUGCAAAGAUUGAUGUGAAGAAGGGAGAGAUUUCGUUGAAUGUAUGUGAUGUGAAGAUGAAUUUCGACAUGAAAGGCUCAAGUACACCUCCAAUACUUAGUGGUAAGUCAUUCUCUAUUGAAUCUACACGGGAAUCUGCGGAGGAAUUGGAUUCUACUGCACCUACAGAAGCCGCUACUGCAACUCAGUAUCGUUCAGACGGACUAGUGUCGACCGACACCAACGACGAGCAGAGAAGCGGAUUUUGGCGAAAACUGUUGUUGGGACUGCAGACAAUGCCAAUUGUUCAGGAGCUGUUCCCGAUACAUACACGCCUUGAUCAGCAAAGGUAUUGCACAUCUCCUCCUCAUCCUUACCUUCUUCACUUAAUACUUCCAUAUCUUCGAAGAAGGCUUCACAGGUAAACGAGCCACGAGAUUCUCGAGUGAUUGUUUCUUCUGUUGUUGAUGCAGGAAACGGAACAACGGACGCUGCAGCUUCUACCAGUUUCCUUGGACAUGAGCACGCCUCCAACGCUUAUGCUCCACCAUGGAUGGCUAGGCGUCGGUCUUCUGAGAAGUCUUCAAACACUUUUUCCGCUCCACCUUGCUCCUGAAACCCGACAUAGUCAAGCUAAUGACUGAAAAUAAGCGCUUAGUGGGAGGCAAUCCACUGGUAUGUUUUUUUGUUUUUCUUUUAUUUUAUUGAUGUUUUUCUUUUUAUUUUAUUUUCGCUAACUCCGGAUUUGAAUGCCACUGGAACAGUGUCGUUUAAGUCUGGGAGCGGCAGUUACUAAUUAUGUUUUUUUUUUUGAGUCUUAUUUUUAUUUUUCUUUUUCUUUUGAGUCGUUUUAUUGAGUCAAAAUUUUGUUGGAAAUUUUGAUCUUUUUCUCUAGAUUAUUGCCUGGUUAGUUUAAUGCUGUAGAUUAAAAUCAAUCCGACUAAUGGAAAAUCCAAAGAGUUAAUCAAUAGACCAGAGGACAUCCACGUUUUCAACACAAUCCGCUAAAGCCUGAGCAAAGUUCAUGCUCUUCACCUCGUCAAUACGGUUAGUAUUUUCAGAACUUGACUCCUCGUUCAUACCUGAUAAAUGAGACCAAUGUGGAAAAAGAAUGGUAUUUCUCUCCAUUAUAUUAAAAAAAAAAACGAAAAAAAAAGAUUGAGAUGAUUUUCUUUUGGAGUAAAGAGAUAAGAAAAUUUCCCGUUAUCUCAUUAUUUUACUUCCAAAGGAAUGAUCACACAAAAGUUGGAUGCGAGGUUAGGAACAUUUCCGAUGAUACCAUUAUUCGUCUACACCUUUGUCAAAAAAAAAGAGAAUUAGUUUGGGGGAGGGAAAGAAUACCAAGGAAAUAUUGAAAUGGUUGAUUUAUCAUAGUAUAGUACGGGAAUGAGUCCAGAAGGUUCUUGAGUACUGAUUUUAUUGAUGAGAUUUAUGCGAUGAGGGCUAUAGGAUAUAGUUGUGGAAUUUGGUUUGGAAUUUGGAAUGUUGAGAAUGCUUGCAGAGAAUUACAUGGUGGUUAGGAUUUGAUGCGAUCUGCUAGGCAUUUGGAUUUGGUUUGAAUAAUAACGGUAAUAGGCUAGAGAAAUUGGGAGUUUCUGUGUUUUCAAACUUCUUACACAGGUUCGGUUUUUGUGUUUUGCUUGAGGGCAAGCAAGAGCUAAUUCUGGAGGAGUUGAUAUAUCACGGAUUUUACCGAUUUUAGCCGUGAUGUAUGUGUCAGUUGUUGAGUCUUUUUGUUGUUUCUAGAGUCUUUUUGAGUAUUUUCAGGUUUUUACAAGUUCGGGACAAAUCUGGAGAUAAGGAACUAUUCUGGAACUAAACCAGAGAUUUAGAGCUGAAGAAACGAUUUCGGUGUCAGACCAAGGCAUGAGUGUCGACCGACACCUUUUGGUGUCGCUCGACACCACACGAGGCCCAGCAAAAAGUCUCGACGGUUUGGAGUUUUUAAAGCCCGAAGAAUCAACCUAGAAGACUUCCCUAUUUGCAACUUUAGUCCCUGCACGUUUUUGGAGACUUUAUAAAUAGUUUUUAGGGUUUUUCUAAUUCAUUAUCUUAAAUCUUGCUUUUUGCUUUUGGCUUUGUAAUUCUCUGAGCUUAAACCCUUUGGAAGAGAAUUGAAGAGAGCAACUUUUCAGAUAUUUCAAAACCCUGUAGAGAGAAGAUUUAUUCUAAACUCUUUUCUUCUUUUGAUAUCUUAUUUUGCAAUUUAUUUAAACAUGUUUUCUGUUUCAUUAAUCAUGUCUGAGUAAUCACCCUGUUAGGUUUAGGGAUUGUCAUUAGGGAUUUAGAUGAAUCAGUAAAUCGAUUUUCUGUUAGGAUUAAUCUAUAGAGUUUUUCACCUUAGGUUGUUCUUAAUGCUAGUUCAAGAGUAGCUAACUAGAACUUGAUCAUACGAUAAUUGGUUUUGAUCCGAGAGGGUGCCUGUUACUGGAACUAUCUUAGGUGGGCAAAGAUUUCUAGAUACAUUCGAGAGGAGGUCUAGGAAUAUUUGUGAACAUAUCAAACCUGUUUUUAAUGCUAGUCUAGAUCUAGGAGUUCGCAUUCGAAAGGGUGGAAUUACCUGAUAUUAGACUAGUUAGUCAAUGUAUCCGAUAGGAGGUUGGCUAUACAUUAGUGUUUUGAGUUCUAGAACGGUUCGAUAAUAAUCCUAAUUAAUUUGCUAGAUUUACUAUUAUAUUAUUUCUUGAAAAUUUUCCUAAACCUGACGCGUUAAUUCAUUUGAAUUUUCACAUGAUUUAAUUGCUUGUUUUUAUUUGAAUUUGCUUAAUAUUCUAUUUAGCCUAAUUUUGAAACUGUUAACUUAUUGUGUGAACAAAAAAAUUUUAUAGAAUUCGACCCUAAAGUACUGUAAUUGAUCUCUUAUUUAAAAGAGUAGUCUAUAAAUCUAAUUUGACUCGUAUCAACAUGCAUGCUUUUCAAAGAAAUUCUUGUUUGUUAGUAUGCAAGUUAGACGGACGCAAAUACCAAACUUUGACAAACAAAUAUAGAAAUAUAUAUAUAUAUUUUUUUCUUCUUCUUUUUUUUGAUAAAAAGGGAGAAAGAAAUAGUUAUUGCGUAAAUAUAUGUUGUUGUUUUCAACUUUUCAAAUUAGUAAUGUUUUAUUUGUUACAAGCUCGAAAAAGAAAAAAAAACGAAAUUUAUUAGUUAGGUUAACAUACAUUUUUUUAUAGAUUGGAUAUUGAACAUACGGUUCAAACUUUAUAUAUUAAAAUUAAUAAACAAAGAGUUGUGUAUCUUUCUAAAACAAACAAAAUUUUAUGUAUUUUUCUUAAAAUUGAAAAACACUUGAUGUAUUUUUAAGGAAUUUUUUUUUUUUUUAAUUGUAUAGAAAUAAACAAACGACGAUGGGAAAAAUGUCGAAAAAUGCGCGAACUUUCAAAUUUGGGACGAAAAAAACAUGAACUUUCGAAAUGUCAUUUAAAUCAUAAAGUUUAGGUUGACUUUUUGACAAAAUAGUGAAGUUUAGUUUGACUUAGUCAUUUCGGGCAUGCCGUUAAAUUUCCGUUAACCAGAAGAUGAAGGUGUUAAAUUUCAGUUAGAACUCUCUGUUGAGUCUAAACGACGUCGUUUUGAAACUCUGAAACAACGUCGCUUCAUUAGAAAAUAAGAUGGAAACAAUGCAUUCAUGGAGAAUCGAACAGCUGACCUACUAGACUAUCGAGAGAUGGUCAACCAUUGCGCUACAAUAACAUUAUGAUAUUAUACCAAACAGAACAUAUAUAUAUUAACAAAUAAUUAUGUACAAUUAACUAAAACUAUAUACAAUUAGUUAACAAUAACAAAACUAGAAAAAAUUAUUACCAAACAGAUACAAAUAUUAAAUAUACUUAAAUAAAUAAAUAUUUUGAAAUUUCAAAUACUAAUUUUAUAUAUAAAGAUUUCUUCUUUAUUUGGAAAAUUAUUUUUUCCUAAAUUAUAAAAAACAAAACUGAAACUUAUAGAGUAUAGAAAAUUAAAUAUAUGACAUAAAACUUAUUCAAUCUUUCUAACAUAAAUAUAGGAUUAAAGAUUGUAUAAAUUAUAGGAUUAAAGAUUGUAUAUUAUGUGAGAAGGAUUGUAUAAAUUUUACAUUUAUGUGAGAAGGAUUGUAUAAAUUUUAUGUCAUAUAUUUAAUUUAAUAUAUUCUAUAAGUUUCAGUUUUGUUUUUUAUAAUUUAGGAAACAAUUUUUUUUAAAUAUAGAAGCAAAUUUUAUAUAUAAAAUUAAAUAUUUAAAAUUUCAAAAUAUAUAUUUAUGGUAAGUAUAUUUAAUAUUUAAAAUUGUACAUAGUUAUUUGUUAGUAUAUAUAUGUUCGGUUUGGUACAAUACCAAAAAAUUAUUGUAGCACAACGGUUGAGCGCCUCUCAUUAGUCCAGUAGGUCAGCUGUACGAUUCUCGGUGGAUGUUGUUUUUCCAUCUUAUUUUCUAAUAAAACGACGUCGUUUCAGAUUUUCAAAACGACGUCGUUUUGAUUCAACAAAGAGUUUUAACAAAAAUUUAACACCGUGAUCGUCUGGUUAACGGAAAUUUAACGGUAUGUCCGAAAUGGCCAAGUCAAACUAAACUUCACUAUUUUGUCAAAAAGUCAAUUUAAACUUUAUGAUUUAAAUGACAUUUUGAAAGUUCAUGUUUUUUUCGUCCCAAAUUUGAAAAUUCGCAUGGGUUAUAAUGAUUAAAUGCCAAAGGCUUGCAUGGGUUAUAAUGAUUAUUGGGAAAAUUGGAUAUAAAAAAUAAAUAAUUAAAUUAUUAUUCAUCUAUGCAUUCUAUAUUUAUAAUUGAUCAUAUAUGUUUUAAUAUUGGUUAUGCUUUAAUAUAAUUAAAAUCACAUUUUGUCCCUAGUUAUUUUAAAUCACAUUUGACAUCGGUGCAAGUUUCUUGUACUAUCCACGAGACCCCAAAAGCAAUUAAUGACCUUUGUAUUGUUCUUUCAGAGGCAAUAAUGUAAAUUAUAAAAAAAAAAUCCUAUUUUAUUUUAUUUUUACUAAACAAAAGAAAAACACUCUAACAAAAUCCUAUUUUAUUUUAUUUUUACUAAACAAAAGAAAAACACUCUAACAAAUAAACAAAUAAUCUGCCAUUGUCACAUGAGUCACAUCCAUUUGACUACACGAAAUGCACUCACUGUAGAUAAAUUUAAAUAAGGUGAAUAUCCCAUGCACCACUGUAUAUGGUACAAAAAGAGAGCCUUUCUUCCUCAUUUUACCACUCUUCUAAAACAUAUUUCUCGUCUUCUCUCAAGUUCUUCAAGAGAAAACAAAAAGAACUGCAAAGAGAAUUGGUGUGACUGAAAAUGGGAGUGGAAGGAACUAUGGAGUAUAUAUCGGACUUUUUGAAGAAGAGGAAGAGGAAGAAGAAGAAGCAACUGCAAACAGUAGCUCUCCGAGUUGCUCGUAUCGACUGCGAAGGUUGUGAACGUAAGAUCAAACAUAUCCUCUCCGGUGUCAAAGGUAUGUAUUUAGAUAUAUGUACGUAUGGUUUAACAUGAAAGCCGAAGGCGUAUCCACUUUAUGUAUAAUUAUAAAAAAAAAAAAAAAAUUAUAUAAGAAAUCAGUUUUAGGCAACCACCAUGAUCCAUUAAUGGUUAGAGAUUUGCCAUGUUGGUCGAAGCCACGGAUCGAAUUCAUUCCACUACUUUCCAUCUUAAUUGACAACAAAAUUUGGUAUUUUGUAUAUGCCCGGUCUAAAGCAUAGGCAAAGAAAAACAUUAAUAUUUCGGAUCCGACAUUUUUUAAAUGCCAACUUUUAGAAAAGUAAAGGUAAGAAUAACUCAAGCUAAAGGGUAUCACUUUUAAAUUUCGAGUGGACAUCUGGAAACAUUAGACCGGCCCCGGAUUGGUCUCAAUUACUUUGUGUUUGGCUCUUUGAUGUCAAAAACUUUGGUUUUCUUGAAUCUCAUCAUGAAAUAUGUGUUUUAGGUAUUUUUGAAUAUAUAUCACAUUUUGGACCAAUUUUAGUCAGACACUACGAUAGAACUCUGAUUAUCCGGUGCUAUUUACAAUUUAUAGACUCGUUGCACUUUAGAAAAUGUGACUCCUAAGAAAAAAAAAUAUGAAAAAUGGAUUUAAUUUUUUUUUGACUCAUUUGGACAGGGGUGAAGUCAGUGGACGUAGACGUGAAGCUGCAAAAGGUAACGGUAACGGGAUAUAUAGAGCCGAAGAAGGUUUUGGAGGCGGCCAAGUCAACGAAGAAGAAAGUGGAGUUAUGGCCUUACGUUCCUUACACAAUGGUGGCGAAUCCGUACAUAUCUCAGGCGUAUGACAAGAAGGCACCACCAAACAUGGUUCGGAAAGUCCCCGACACAACCUCUGUCAACGAGACCACCGUCGAUGACUCUUACACCAUUAUGUUUAGCGAUGAGAAUCCUAAUUCUUGCAUUAUCAUGUAGAAGAGUGUACAUUUUGUUAUGGAUUUUGGUAAUAGUAUACGUAAUUAAGAAUCGUUGUAAAAAAAAAAAAAAAAAAAAAAAGAAUCGUUUUGUCUGUAACGUGAGAAAAUCGAAAUGUCUUUUGAUACUUAAUGGAAAUUUGAUAUGCCUCAAUAUUAGUUGUUUUAACAUAUAUAAGUUUAAUACCAAAACAGACCAAUAUAAUACAUAUAUUGGUUUAUGUCAAUGUGUCACUAUCCGAAUUGAAAACUCCAUAACACACGUUGUUGACAAAAAAAAAUUAUCAAAAAUAAUUAUAUCUUUUAUCAAUUAUCUUAUAUUAGUUUCCGAUUCUACAACUUCAAUCAAUUAUCUUAUAUUAGUUUCCGAUUCUACAACUUCAAGUAUUCAUACAAUAUCUAAAAACAUGUUAAAUAGAUGGGAUUGGCUUGAGGAUCAUAGAUCAUAUAGAUUUCUAGUUAGUAAAUUGAUGUAGUAUUUCACCAUCUCCAAACUUAACAUACCUUUCAUAGUUGACAAGUUAUUAUUAGUAAUGGGCCUAACUCAACACCCAAAAGCUAGCUCAAGGGAGGAGGUUUGCCUCAUACUAUAUAUAUUGCCCAAGGAUUUUAUUUCUUUCCAAUGUGGGACUCUAACACACCCUCCUCACGCUCAGGACUGGACAUCUGAAGCGUGAAGUUUGUGGGACUGGAUAUUCACGGAUGGUAGCCCACUUUCGAGAAAGUUGAACCUGGCUUUGAUACCAUAUUAGUAAUGGGUCUAACUCAACACCCAAAAGCUAGCUCAAGAGAGGAGGUUUGCCUCAUACUAUAUAUAUAUUGUCCAAGGAUUUUAAUUUAUUUAUUUCCGAUGUGGGACUCUAACAGUUAUGUCAGUACUUAUUUAAUUUGAAUCAGAAUCAGAAUCAGAAGAUAAAUCGAAACUACUUGAAUGCAUUUUUGCACAUAUUAUACCUUCAAUUUUGAAAAGACACUGUAGAAUCGAAAAAAAUGAGGCAGAAGAAGAAGGAGCAUUGUCUCCGUUGAAGUCUGAGCUUGUUUGAUGACAAGGUGGGCCUGUGGUUGGGCCUGGGGAUGGGUUGAGUUGCAAUUGCAGUACUUUUUUCUUUUUUUUUAACGUAUAACAUGUUUGAUUUGUCUUCCAGUUGCAGUUUUAGUAAGGUGACUUUUCUCAAAUAACACAUUUUCAAAGAUUACUGUAUGUAACAAACAUGUUAAAUUAAAUUAAGCUACAUAAAAGCACUUUUUUUGCAGAAAAUUGUGGACAGAAAAAUCGCGAUAGCAGAAUCAAGUUUUAAGCCUAGCAUACAAACACAUGUUUUUAAUAAAAAGUUAUGGAACUCUGUGUUUUAAAAAAAAACAAAAUUAUAUAUAUUAGAUCGUGUUUUAGGGGAAAAACUGUGGAGUUGUAUUGUAUAUAAUUUUGGUCAAAUUAAAUGCAAAGCUGCGUUUUUUUUUGUCAACAAAUGCAAAACUGCGUUUUGGCAGAAAACUGUGUUUUGGCAAAAUAAUUGCAGUAUCAAAAUUUCAAUGGAAAUAGCGAGAAAAUAGCAUAAUUGUGUUUUGGAAAAAAAUAUUGUGGAUCUGUUUUAAUUCUUUUUUUUUUGGUUCGAAACGAUCACACAAAUUAUGAAGACGCAUACAUGUUUCAAAGGAUGAAGAACAUGUUGUUUUCUUAGAUGAUUUCUUGGCUGACAUGAAAUGUAUGAUCAAGAUUCAAUUCGGAGUUAGAUUUUCACUGAAUANNNNNNNNNNNNNNNNNNNNNNNNNNNNNNNNNNNNNNNNNNNNNNNNNNNNNNNNNNNNNNNNNNNNNNNNNNNNNNNNNNNNNNNNNNNNNNNNNNNNNNNNNNNNNNNNNNNNNNNNNNNNNNNNNNNNNNNNNNNNNNNNNNNNNNNNNNNNNNNNNNNNNNNNNNNNNNNNUUUAUUUUAGCGAGAUAUAGAUUUCGAAUUUUGUUUGCGGAGAGAUGUAUAGCCCAUCUGGUGUUAUACAAAUCUCUUUGUGUAAAAUUAGAUCAUUAGUCCAACCUUUUACCUAAAACAUUUAAAAUUUUCUUCGAUUUAAAGACAUUUUUGAGAGCAAACAUGCAAAGCUCCAUAAACUAAUAUUACUUGAGAUGAUCGCGUAGAGAUUGCGAACCAUAUAUGAUACAUGAUAGAUGCUUUUAAAUCCACGGGAACAGCUGAUAUCUAAACCUUUAGACCGCUCACUAAGAGGCAGCCCAAGAUAUCUUACCGACAAGCUUGCUUUCCUUAGGUUGAACUUUGUAUAUUUUCAUAAAAUACAUAUUUCGAAAAACAUAGUUUUUGUAUCAUUUACUUUUAUUAAAUUCCAAUUCCUAUAUCUUGGUGGGGAAUUAAAAAAAAAUAAAGGCGUCAUGCCAACACGUUGCAGCUUAGGAGACGAAACCAUAUAUGAACAUAACCCUUUACGAUGAAAAAAUAAAUACUAUAUUUAGUUCGUUAGAACAACAAUCAUGGUUUAUAUUAAAUAGGCUAAAUAAGUGUAUCGGAAGUCAUCAUAUUCGUUGGCACAUAUUCCUUCAUGGAUAAGAUCCCUUAAAUCAUUAACAAAUAGAAUCCAUUUAAUCAUACUUGGCUGCAAUCGUGACCGUCUGAAAGAUUGUAAUUUGAGGACGGCUAAAACAAAUAAAGCCUUGAAAAAACAAUAUAAAAAGAUCAAAAUAAAUUCGUAAUUCUCAAUAGGCAUUUUUCAAAAAAAAAAAAUUAUAAUAUGCCUUUUUCUACAUUUUUCUCCAAAAUAUGCCUUAUAUUCAUAAUAUAAUAUAGUUAGUUUACACAUGACUCCUUAUCAUUCUUACAACUUUUUCCAAGUUACUAGAAUCUGAAUUAUGGUACCAACAAAGUCUCUACAACUUUCUUUUCUUGAAAUCUAGUGAAAGAAUGUUGCUAUAGGUAUAUCAAAUGGCACAAAACUAGGUUCUUGAAACUCACAAAAAGUUGUUUGUAAAGUACUACAUAUUUUCAGUAUUUAAGUAGGUAUGAACAUGUAAAAAGAGUACCUUUGUAUGAUUGAUAACUAUCUUCCUUAAAAAUAUCAAAUUAAAUUACGAUAAUACAUAUAAUGUUUUUUUAUUACGGACAACUGUAUAUCGCUGUUAAAUUAUCUAGUUGUACCAGUUGAUAUAUAAAAAAGUUAGAUGAAAGUCUACUCACAGAACCGUAUGAUAUAUAUGAAAUUUGAUUCUGUAAAACUUGGCCAAAGCAAAAGGCUAAGGGCCAUAUUAAACAUCAAAAGAAUGAGUAUACUAAUACCACUCUUGAAGAAACCAUGAAGAAGACAAAGCCUUAAGGACUGAACUUGAACCUAGACAUUAUUAAGGCUAUAUGCAUUUUAUCCGACGUGGCGGCAUCUUUUCAGAUUCUGGGACCCACGUUUCACAACCUAAUUGGUCAAGAAUCUGUUGGUUAUACCGGGAAUACUGUAAUAAAUUGAUAAGUCAACCUCUAUUUUAUGUUGUGCACAUAAGUUGUUUUCAAGUAUAGUAAUACUAGGAACAUGUAUAGUUGCUAGAUAUUUCUAUAAUUUUAAAAUUUUAAAAUUUGUCCCAGAAAUAAAUAUUUAGGGAGAAACUUGGAAAAGACAAAAACAUGAAAGGACAAGAAGAUAUAUGUGUGACGUGAAUAUAUACAAUUUCACAUCUUUUCUAAUAAAUUGCAUACAAUAAUAUACUGUAUGUUACUAUAAUAAAUUGUUAAGUCAACCUCUAUUUUAGGUUGCCAAUGCACAUAAGUUGUUUUCAAGUAUAGUAAUACUAAGAAACAUGUAUAGUUGCUAGAUAUUUCAAAAAAUUUAAUUUAUUUUUAAAAGUUGUCUCAUAAAUAUAACUUUUUUAGGGAUGAACUUGGAAAACACGAAAACAUUGGAGGAUAAGAAGAUAUAUGUGUGACGAAUAUUGCAUACAAUUUCACACCUUUUCUAAUAAAUCUCAUACAAUAAUAUGUGUUACUAUAAUUAAUUGUUAAGUCAACCACUUUUUUGUAUGUUGCCAAAGGCACAUAAGUUGGUUUUAAGUAUAAAUAAAAGGUAAAAAGAUGAAUAGUUUUUUUUUUUGUCGUCUAGAUUUAUUAUUAAUUGCAAAUUAUGAGAACUGUUACAUAGACGAUUCUACAACUGACAAUUCCUUCCGACCCUUACUAGAUUCACGACAGACUACACUUCCUUCUUCGUAAUCUUGAUGAAUACCUUCAAUGAUCCACGACCUCGCUACACUUCCUUCUCUGCGUAGAAUCCUGGCGAACGGCUAUAAUUGUACAUCGCUGGAGAUCUCUUGCACACUUGCCUCCAUUAAUCUGCAAAUUUGUUAAUAAAUCGCAAUACCUGGGACUCGAACCCCAGACUUUUUGGUGUAGAAGCAUUAAUCAACCCUUGGUCAACCAAUGGGCCAAGGGGGCUUCCACAAAAAAAAAAAAAAAAAAAAAAAAAAAAAAAAAAAAAAAAAAAAAAAAAAAAAAAAAAAAAAAAAAAGAUGAAUA